CCCUGAGGGACAAGGGUGGGUCCCCGCGAAUCUCCGGGCAGCCUUAGUGCUGACUCCGCCCCCUGCAGGGGUAGGGCGCUGCCCAGGAGCACUCUGUGUUCCAGAAAACCCCAAAAUAACCCAACUUUGCUGUCCAGCUGCUAUUUCUGUCCAUCUUGUUUAAUUAUUCAAACCCAAGUUGGGGAGUGAACUAUAAAAAGCUCUCCGGCUCGGGGACCCAGGAGAGCAGGGAGGCUCGCCAGGUUGCCAUCGGAGCAGAGCACAUGGUUAAGUGAGGUCACUCAGUGAGGCCUUCUGCCUGAAAGUUCCAUCUGCUGUUCGCUUGCUUCCUCUGCUAGAAGGAGGACCGGGGCCUCCCUCCCUGGGCCUCCCUCAGGCCCUCCCCCCUGCACCCCUCCCAGCCUGCCCUGCCCGGGAGCUGGGCCCCACCCACCUCCCUUGACUCUGGAUGUGUUUGCCCUCAGUGGACCCUUUGAUGACUGCUUCCUAGUCCUGGUUCUUAGCCCAUAGAUCCUCUUAUCAGACCCCAGCUUCCAGGACUUCGUGGGGGGCAGGAAGUGCAGGUGGCCCGGAGUCUAACAGAGGUCGUGUUCCCCACCCAGCUGCAUCUCUGCCAGGCUGAGGAAGACGCUCGGGCAGUCCGCAGUGCGGACACAGGCUGUCACCACUCUUGACCCAUGGCCCAGCAUGGGCUUAGCUCCCAACCAGAGAGAGCGCCCACGUGGGGGAUUAAGCAUGGAGACCAGAGAAUGGGAGUUCGAGAACGGUGAGAAUAGACUCACCACCUGCUCAUCCAUGACUUCCUGUGUGCGCCUUGCGGAGCUCAGCCGUGGACCCCCGCUCGCGGCCCACUGCGGUGGCCUUGCCUGGACUGGGAGGCAUCUUGGAGAGAGCAGUCCCAAGACUGCAGAGAACAGGAGGUUCCCUGGGCAUCGGGAGGCUCGAUCCUCACCGCUCCAGGCUGACCCGCAUCAGCGUCUUGGAAGGUCAGAGAAGAAGGCGGGAGCGGGCUGGGGUGGGCCACUCUGGACCCCUCGGGCACGUGCGGACCCGGCCGGCAGGUGGUCAGAACUGCCCAGAACUGUGCUGCUGACCUGUCAAGCACAACUCUCGUUUCCCCAAAGGCACAGGUGAUUUGAAUGUGCAUUUGAGCCUGUGUGCUUAUGGGGGUUUGCUGGACUGAUUGCGGCAACCACUUCACGACUGGCACAGAGACCGAGUCCGUCUGUCACACGUCUGCAGCCUCCCUACAGUUACCUGUCAAUUACAUGUCAAACGGAGGGGAGAGGAGGACGGGCCGCGUCGCUGCGGUGCUCUGUGCACAGUCUCUUUGCCCAGGUGAGACCUGCACAGAUGUCCUCGAUAGCCAGGAGCUCCUCAAGGCCCUCCCGCCACGGAGGUUAGUGCGGGCGGGGUGUGGGGAGCCCCGCAGUUUCUUCCACUCGCUUCACACACUGUGGUGGGCUCCCAAGAAAGCCUCCCUUUGAGGACCCAGCCCCAGACAGAAGAGACCUCGUGCUUUGUGAUGGAACAUCUCUGCUAUGGAACGUCAGACAGCCUUGCAGAGCAAGCCAUGGGGCCGACGCGGGGACACACAGCCUCUGGACACACAUUAUCCGACGGAAGAAGCAAGUCUCAGGGCCACCUGGCCGGCUCGGUCGGGAGAGCAUGCAGCUUUUGAUCUUGGGGUUAUGAGUUUGAGUCCCACACUGGACGUGGAGCUGACUUCCAGGGAACAAAGCCCGUCUCAGAGCAGUGUACGCCAGACUAGGCCACUUGCACAAAUCAGGCACGUAUGAGUAGGGAAACCAUCAUCUCAGCAAACUUAGCGGCUCAGAACAGCAGGCGUGUCGUGUUAACUUGCAGGGUCGGGGAGUGACGGGGUGGCCGGGUGCUUUUCCCGCUGGCUGGCUGCGUCCUGACGGGGCCAGGGUGAAGGCCUCCUCAUGUGUCUGGCGCUCGGGCUGGGAACACUCAGACAGGUGGGGUCCAGACAAAGCUAUGAUCCUGUCUCUCCUAGUCCCGUCUUUGUGUUCUUCCCGGCCCAGGGGUUUCCAGGUAGCCAGAAUCCCUUUUUUUUUUUUUUUUUUAAAGGUUUUAUUUAUUUAUUUGACACAGAAAGAGAGACAGUGAGAGAGGGAACAGAAGCAGGGGCAGUGGGAGAGGAAAAGCAGGCUUCCUGCCAAGCAGGGAGCCCGGUGCUGGGCUCAAUCCCUGGACCUUGGGAUCGUGACCUGAGCCAAAGGCAGACGCUUAACAACAGAGUCAUCCAGGCGCCCCGGUAGCCAGUAUUCUUAGGAGUGGUGUAGGACUCAGAAGUUAUGUGUCCUACAUAGAGCACCAAGGGGGAUCAAUGUUUCUUCCUAGGACCUAGCCUUGGGAACGACCCCACAUCAUUUCUGUGCCACACUCGUGAGACAGUCGCGGGGCCCGCCCAGGGGUCCCACAGAGCCCCCACCUGGUGGGGGAGCAGGUGUGAUAGGACAUGUCCCGCCCACCUGCGGAAGAGAGCAGAUUCUGCCACAGUGAGUUGGUGAACAUGUUGAGAACAUGACCAUGAACAUGAGGAGAAAAGGCCCCGAAGGAUCUUCACCAAAACAUAACAGGGCUUCCCCUUAGAGAAGAUGGGGCGCUGCGAAGUUUCACCUGCCUUCCUACGUAUGCCUUGAGUCCUUGGAGAUGACAGAUACAUUCUUUGGUUUGAUGAAUAGGAAACAGAAGAGAAGAAAAAAGGAAGAGAAGCCAAGUAAAGCUUUGCUGUAAGCCCCUCAUAAUGAAAGGUUUGAUAGAUCGGGAUUUUGGGAAAAUAUUGAAAUGCAUCUGAAUUUUAUGAACAUAUUACAUUAGGUUGGUGAUAUUUUUUUUUUAAAGAUUUUAUUUAUUUAUUUGACAGAGAGAGAUCACAAGUAGGCAGAGAGGCAGGCAGAGAGAGAGAGAGGAGGAAGCAGGCUCCCCGCUGAGCAGAGAGCCCGAUGUGGGACUCGAUCCCAGGACCCUGAGAUCAUGACCUGAGCCGAAGGCAGCGGCUUAACCCACUGAGCCACCCUGGCGCCCCAGGUUGGUGAUAUUUUAUUUUAUUUAUUAUUUAAGUUUUUUUUUUAGUAAGCUCUAUACCCCACGUGGGGCUCAAACUCACAACCCCAAGAUCAAGAGUCGAGGCACAGGCUCUGCCAACGGAGUCAGCGAGGCACCCCACGCUGGUUCUAGUUUAAAUAAGGUGCAGAGGGCACCUGGGUGGCUUAGUUGGUUGAGCGACUGCCUUCGGCUCAGCUCAUGAUCCUGGAGUCCCUGGAUCGAGUCCCACAUCGGGCUCCCUGCUCAGCAGGGUGUUUGCUUCUCCCUCUGACCCUCUCCCUUCUCAUACGUGCUCUCUCUCAAAUAAAUAAAUAAUAAAUCUUUUAAAAUAAAUAAGGCGCAGAAAUGAGGACAGAAUUAUGAUUCUUUUCCCAACUUUAUUGAGCUAUAACUGACAUAACAUUAUAUAAAUUUAAGGUAUACAAUGUAACGAUCUCUCUCUCUAUAUUUUUUGUUACAUAGUGUAACAGUUAAUAUAUAAUAUAAUGUGAUAUACUAUGUAAUGGUUACAGAGUGUAACAUGUUACAUAGUGUAACAAAAGAUAGAUACAUAGAUACAGGGAAAGUAAGAGAAAUGAGCACUGCAGUAGGCUUAAGUAAUGCCUCUCUUGGUGCGAUGGUUACCAUGUUCGCCCGUCGUGAGAACAUUUAGGACCUGCCCUCAGCAUCUUCCCAGUGUAUGAUACAGUGAUGCUAACUGCAAUCACCGCUCCGUGCCUUCUGUCUCCAGAACUUACUCCUCCUACAACUGGAAGUUUGUGACCUUUGACCAACGUCCCCCCAUUUCCACCCCCCGCCCCCCAAGGACAGCCUUAUUCAUUCAUUUAACAGAUGUUCCUUGAACACCUGCUUCACGUUAGUUGAACAGCUCUAGCUGGAACGCGUUGUUCGUAGAUCUGAGCCGGCUUUGAGGGAUCUCUGGUAGCUCCAUCCAUGGCCUCGUCCUGUUUUCACACUUUUAUGUGGAAAGAGAAAAAGCGGCCCUGUCAAGGAUGUGGCAUCGCGGUGUGAAAAGACUUCAAUGUAGUGGAUAAAAAUGGGGGCGCCCGGGCUGCUCAGUCGCUGGAGCGGGUGACUCUUGAUCUCAGGGUUUUGGGUUCGAGCCCCAUAUUGGGUGUAGAGGUUACUUAAAAAUAAGAUCUUUAAAAAUAUAUAUAUUACAUAAAAAUAGUGAAGAUGUCCAGCUUCGCUCUUACAGUUAUGGGCUCGGGUGCCUGGGUGGCUCGGUGGGUUGGGCCUCCACUUUCGGCUCGGUUCGUGGUCUCAGGGUCCUGGGAUUGAGCCCUGCAUCGGACUCUCUGCUUGGUGGGGAGCAUGCGUCCCCCACCCCACCUGCCUCUCUGCCUACUUGUGAUCUCUCUCUCUGUCAAAUAAAUAAAUAAAUACAUCUUUAAAAAAAUAAAAAAGCAAAACAAAAAGCAAAAAACUUAGUGGCUCAAGGGCCACCCGGGUGGCUCAGUUGGCCAAGCCUCAUUUGUGAUUUCAGCUCCGGUUGUGAUCUCAGGGUCAUGAGAUCAAGCCCCGUGUAGAGCUCUGCAUUCAACGGGGAGUCGGCUUAAGGUUCUCUCUCCCUCUGCCCCUCCCCCCAAUAAAAAUAAAUAAAUCUAAGAAAACCCACCUGUGGCUCAAAACAGCAAUAACAAGGGGAUGAUUCUGGUUGUGGAUCUGGGCCUGGCUGAGCUCAGCAGGGGGGCGGCUCGGACUCUGGGCCCCUCGUGUGGGCGGAGACCCCGCAGAGCCGUCCUCACCUGGCCAGGUGUCCGCAGGGGCGUCAGCAGGAAAGGGCAGGAGGACACCGACACCUGACUUCUCUGCGGGACCCCGGCGUCCUCAUGGCGUGGCAGCAGGCUCCCGAAAGCAGCCGUCCCAGGACCUGUGGAAGUCGCAGCCUCCGUUUGUGGUGUCAUUGCUGUAGAAGUCACAGUGACCUCGCUGUCACUAAUGACCAACUGGCGGAUUCGAGGGGAGGGGCACCGACAUUACCGGUCAGUGGCGGGAGCGCUGAUGUCGCGAUAAGAGCACGGGGAAGCGGGGACUGUGUGACGUCGCUGUUCGAGAAUACCAUCUGCUACUUUCAUUCAUCAUCAAAAAGAGACAUAGCGAGAGAGGGAACACAAGCAGGAGGAGUGGGAGACGGGGAAGCAAGCUUCCCGCUGAGCAGAGAGCCCGGUUUGGAGCUCAAUCCCAGGACCCCAGAAUCAUGACCUGAGCUGAAGGCAGAGGCUUAACCCGCUGAGCCCCCCAAGCGCCCCACGCUUAUCGCUUCUGACAGUGGAGUAUCCGUCUUCACCAGCCA
Molecule: long non-coding RNA, 5371 nt
Organism: Mustela lutreola (European mink)
Lineage: Eukaryota; Metazoa; Chordata; Mammalia; Carnivora; Mustelidae
Exons: 4
Source: RefSeq, a predicted model, not a curated record